AAAAAGAUAAUAUAAUGUUAUAUGGUUGGCUUGAAACUAAUUAAUAUAGGUUAAAUUCCUAUUCUUUUUG
Molecule: transfer RNA, 70 nt
Filed under: Dermophis mexicanus (Mexican burrowing caecilian)
Lineage: Eukaryota; Metazoa; Chordata; Amphibia; Gymnophiona; Dermophiidae
Description: tRNA-Ser
Rfam family: tRNA
About the family: Transfer RNA (tRNA) molecules are approximately 80 nucleotides in length.
Source: RNAcentral